Molecule: long non-coding RNA, 268 nt
Filed under: Fukomys damarensis (Damara mole-rat)
Lineage: Eukaryota; Metazoa; Chordata; Mammalia; Rodentia; Bathyergidae
Description: lncRNA (ENSFDAG00000030989.1)
Source: RNAcentral
AGAGAAUUCAACUCCUGCAUGUGUACACACUUUUGGACUCAGGUGCUGUGGGACUGUCGGUGUAGCUGUGUGGUUGGUAACGAUGGCCACCACUUUGUACUCUCUGAAGCACAUUGAAAGAAUCACAGAUUGUCCACACGUAAGCUACAUACGCCUGUGCAUUUCCUAAAUAAAGGGGAAGCGUUCCAGAAACCCCCGGAGUCUGCCUGGUGAUUCCGUGCCUUACCUUCCCAGUCCAAGCUCCUGAACUGAACUCCGCAGACCAAAC